AUCCUCCAAGGCUAAAUACUCCUGACUGACCGAUAGUGAACCAGUACCGUGAGGGAAAGGCGAAAAGAACCCCGGCGAGGGGAGUGAAAAAGAACCUGAAACCGUGUACGUACAAGCAGUGGGAGCCCCACCACCAAAGCAUUCUCUGGUGUUGAAGGCCCUGCAAAGCAGCAUCGCGGUGGCGGAGCGUCGUUUGCGACGCCCAACACACAAAACAAGCGGUGAGUGCUUUGGGGUGGGGUGACUGCGUACCUUUUGUAUAAUGGGUCAGCGACUUAUAUUCUGUAGCAAGGUUAACCGUAUAGGGGAGCCGGAGGGAAACCGAGUCUUAAUUGGGCGUUAAGUUGCAGGGUAUAGACCCGAAACCCGGUGAUCUAGCCAUGGGCAGGUUGAAGGUUGGGUAACACUAACUGGAGGACCGAACCGACUAAUGUUGAAAAAUUAGCGGAUGACCUGUGGCU
Molecule: ribosomal RNA, 461 nt
Filed under: Salmonella enterica
Lineage: Bacteria; Pseudomonadati; Pseudomonadota; Gammaproteobacteria; Enterobacterales; Enterobacteriaceae
Description: bacterial LSU rRNA
Rfam family: Bacterial large subunit ribosomal RNA
Source: RNAcentral